This 91-nucleotide transfer RNA is filed under the name Binatia bacterium. RNAcentral describes it as "tRNA-Ser". It matches the Rfam family "tRNA". From Rfam's summary of the family: Transfer RNA (tRNA) molecules are approximately 80 nucleotides in length. Lineage: Bacteria; Candidatus Binatota; Binatia (SeqCode). The record is from RNAcentral.
GGAGAGGUGGCCGAGUUGGUCGAAGGCGCACGCCUGCUAAGCGUGUGUGGGGCUAAAAACCCCACCGAGGGUUCGAAUCCCUCCCUCUCCG